This 377-nucleotide ribosomal RNA is filed under the name uncultured bacterium. RNAcentral's name for it is "bacterial SSU rRNA". It matches the Rfam family "Bacterial small subunit ribosomal RNA", at positions 521 to 896 of the family's 1533-position model. The record is from RNAcentral.
UAAGACAGAGGUGCCGAGCGUUAGGCGGAAUCACUGGGCUUAAAGCGUGUGUAGGCGGCCCGUUAAGUGUCUUGUGAAAUCCCGCGGCUCAACCGCGGAACGGCUGGGCAUACUGACGGGCUUGAGCGGCCUAGGGGCAGAUGGAACAAGUGGUGGAGCGGUGAAAUGCGUAGAUAUCACUUGGAACGCCGAAGGUGAAGACAGUCUGCUGGGGGCCUGCUGACGCUGAGACACGAAAGCCAGGGGAGCGAACGGGAUUAGAUACCCCGGUAGUCCUGGCCCUAAACGAUGUCGACUAGGUCGUGGGACCUCUGACGGUCUCACGGCCGAAGCCAAAGUGCUAAGUCGACCGCCUGGGAAGUACGGUCGCAAGGCUA